GCCUCGGUGCUAUAGUGGUAGUAGCACGCGUCUCGGGUAUGAAAAAAACGCGGGUUCGCUUCCGGCCUGAGGCC
Parelaphostrongylus tenuis is the source of this 74-nucleotide non-coding RNA. Lineage: Eukaryota; Metazoa; Nematoda; Chromadorea; Rhabditida; Metastrongylidae. The record is from the annotation of a GenBank genome assembly.